CUUCCUUCCAAGCUAAAGGGAUUAAGCUAUUGAAGAAAUAAAAAUUAAGGACUAAACUACCAAGGAAAUGAAGAUAAGUAAUCUAAAAGGGCGGAGAGUCGAGUUGGUUUGGUAUUGGAGUUUUACAACCAG
Capsicum annuum is the source of this 132-nucleotide long non-coding RNA. RefSeq lists it as uncharacterized. NCBI's taxonomy places the organism in Eukaryota, Viridiplantae, Streptophyta, Magnoliopsida, Solanales, Solanaceae. The transcript is spliced from 3 exons. The record is from RefSeq and is a predicted model, not a curated record.